RNAcentral lists this ribosomal RNA (415 nucleotides) under uncultured bacterium. RNAcentral describes it as "bacterial SSU rRNA". It matches the Rfam family "Bacterial small subunit ribosomal RNA", at positions 355 to 775 of the family's 1533-position model. The record is from RNAcentral.
UGGGGAAUAUUGCACAAUGGGCGCAAGCCUGAUGCAGCCAUGCCGCGUGUGUGAUGACGGCCUUCGGGUUGUAAACCUCUUUCAGUGCAGAACAAGGCUCUUUGUGGGUUGAGGGUAUGCGCAGAAGAAGCGCCGGCUAACUACGUGCCAGCAGCCGCGGUAAUACGUAGGGCGCGAGCGUUGUCCGGAUUUAUUGGGCGUAAAGAGCUCGUAGGCGGUUUGUCGCGUCUGCUGUGAAAUCCUCUGGCUUAACUGGGGGCGUGCAGUGGGUACGGGCAGACUGGAGUGCGGUAGGGGAGACUGGAAUUCCUGGUGUAGCGGUGGAAUGCGCAGAUAUCAGGAGGAACACCGGUGGCGAAGGCGGGUCUCUGGGCCGUUACUGACGCUGAGGAGCGAAAGCAUGGGGAGCGAACAG